AUGCACCACCAUGCCCCUGCCCGGGUCGGAGCGGAGCGGACGCGAGUCCAGCACACAGACGUUUGCCGUCACCUCGGGGCUGUGCUGCCGCGUCCCACCACCAGCAAAGCAGCCGUCUGUCCUCGAGAAGCUCCCGCCCGGGGGGCGCAGGCAGCAGGGCAAAGCCCCCGGCCCCCCGCACGGGCCAACACGUUGGUUAUGCCCUGCUCAGCGCUGAUCUCUGGCAGCCAGCCUGGCUCCAGCACAGCCCCGCUCAGCUGCGAGCAAGACGGAAAACCCCUCAGAGAGGAACGCCGGCCGGGUCUCCUUCCAGGUGGAGGCAGCCCAGCAUCGGCCGGAGCCCGGGGAUGCCAGCAGCACCGCUGGGCUCCCUGUGCUCCCUUCCGGAGGCCUCCUCCGUCCUGGAGCACAGCCCUGAGCCCGCAUGGCAGCCAGUGCUUUCCGGGGUGCCGGUCCCAAAAGGAAGAGCCGGGAGCUGGCAGAGCGUUGGGGGGACCCAGGGUGGGUAGCGCCGUGCUGGGGGACGCAGGCAGGGCCAGGCUGCCUGCGGUGCGGUGCAGCCCAGCCGCCCCAGCCCCUGCCUGUCCCCUGCUCCCUGCACGCUGCUCCCUGCCUGCCUGUCCCCAUCCCCUGCUCCCUGCCUGUCCCCAUCCCCUGCCGGCAGCGGCGCGGGGAGCCCGGGCCAUCCCCGUCCCUCUGCUGCCCCCCCGCGGCCGCGACCCCCCCCUGCGCCCGGCCCGGCCGCUCCGCAGCGCCCCCGCCGCGCCGAGCCGCCAGCGCCUCUCACCCCGUCCCCUAUCCCCCCCCCCCCCCCCCCCCCCCCCCCCCCCCCCCCCCCCCCCCCCCCCCCCCCCCCCCCCUCCCCUGGGCCCCCCCCCCUCCACCCCCCCCCGCGUUUGCAGCACAUUUUGCACACGCGUGUGCUCCCCACCGGCGCAGCGGGUGCAAGGGGCUGCGCAGCACCUCGCCCGCACACGUUGUGUGCACGCACGGCCACGCACAGCGCUUGCAGUGCACUUGCUCCUGACACACGUGCGGGCAGUGCCACACUGGCACGUGCUGUGCGCACACGUGGCCAUGCACAGUGCACACGCUCCCGACAUGCGUGUGCACAYGCGUGUGCAGGCAAGCACUGAUACUGCACGCUCCCUCCCCACUCCUCCACCCAAACGCUCGGCCCCAGCACGCUGGCACUUGCUAACGCAUCCUCGCUUGUUUUUCCCCCUUUGCCUUGAGYGCCGCUGCCUGCCUCCCACGCGUUUUCACCCGACUCCCACUCACGGCGCGUUCAAGGCUCCCUGCUCUCGGCUCCCGGGUCUUGCGUCUGCCUCCCUGCUGCGUGCACCGAGGUCUCUCCUCACGCUGCUGCAUCCGUGGGACUUCCCCCGCGUGCGCCGCCUCCGCCUGGAAAAGCUGGGAGCUGGUCUGCAAAGGUCCUGA
Molecule: long non-coding RNA, 1440 nt
Filed under: Apteryx haastii (Great spotted kiwi)
Lineage: Eukaryota; Metazoa; Chordata; Aves; Apterygiformes; Apterygidae
Description: lncRNA (ENSAHAG00000008525.1)
Source: RNAcentral